CAAAGAAGGAAAUGAGGAAACGUAAGAUUAGAAAGUGAAUGGCAAGUGAAGAAAAAUAAUAAAAUGCAAGUCAAGGUGAAGUGAAAAACGCAGACUCACAUAGGAUACAAUUAGUUCGGCACCAGAGACACGAGGCUCCCACUCCGAGUUGUUAUACGCGUACACCAAGUGAAGCAGUAAGCUGGAUCCCAGCAAGUAAGCUACCCCCAAGCAGAUAAAGAGACACGUGUUCUGUGUGCAGGCGGAAGAAAUCGGCAUAAGUCAAUUUUUAUUCAUGCUGAGCAGGCUCUCAAUAUCAGCGGGUGGCACUUAAUUUUAUAUUGUGAAACUCUGAAAGGAAAUUUAGUUAGUGAGAGAGUACAAAGCGUUGCGGUUAAUUAUUGGUAAGAAGUGCUUCGAUGCGUGAUACUUACGAUGAGUGGCCAAUUGAAGGGAAACAGGUAGACUGUAUGUGAUAUGUCGAGAAAGAGCAGCACGCUGGUGGUAAGGAGGGUAAAUAUCGUCACGAACAGCAUCAGCCUCAACCUGGCCAAGAUGGGUAACAUGUGGAACGGCGCCCUUAAUGACAUGCUGGUGCACAGUCCAAUCAAACAAGCCAUGGUGCACACCUGAGACAAUUAAUAGAGAAUUUCAAAACUAGAGCAAUCAUAAUUAUUAUGCCAGACGAGCAGCACCCGAACGAUGCCGGUUGCCGAUUUGAGGUGUUUCUGGUCGCAGUAGACAAUCACCCCCCGGAACAACAUGCGUCCCUCGUCAUCGUCGUCGAGGUCGUGUCGGUAGUUGGCGUGGCUGUCCCACGAGUGGACGGUGCCGACCAACGAGCGGGCGCCCGCCUCGCCGUCCGAGUCGGCGUCGCUGCCUUCGUGGGGCCCCUGCACUCCCUCGGGACCGUCUUCGUCCACGGCCGUCCGACUGCCGGCAAUCUCAAAAUCCUGUGAUCAAGUGAGAGGGUUGAAUCGAGAGCAGGGUGAGAGAGAGCGGCGCUCAUCAAAGGAAUAAAGAAAGAGAAAAAAAAGAGGAAAAAGCAACUCUUUGAGCAAACACAAACAGCAGAAUGUGAUAUGAGGCGGUGUCUGGCUGAGUGAGAGGAGGCGCAAGUAUAAAUAAAAAAAGUAAUGAGAAAAAAAAUGCGACAACGAUAAAUGAGUGGCGCUAAAGCUUAUAUUAAGGGUGGCUUUUUUAUUCGGUAUUGGGGUUUUGGGAGAUGAUUGCUGUUUUAAUCAAGCGAAAGCAUUCGGAUCGAUUGCGACUGCUGCUUGAUAUUAUGAAUAUUAAUCGGGCGGCAUUAGCGCUAAUCUUGAUAAUGAUGCGCGCACGGUUGGUGCUGAAAGGGAACCGGUGGAACAAAAGGUGUAUAAAAUCAAAAGUGUCUAAUAAGCGAUCUACAAGAGAUUGUAGAAUAAAAAAAAGAGAGAUGAGAGGAACCCUGCAAGCCGAGGAUGUAUGGUGAUGAGACAUGAAUAGAUGAAAGAACCAGAGGGCAAUUCGUUGGACAGAGAUCAGCGGAGGAAUGUUGCAGCUCUGCUCCUCUACGUACCAGAGCCUUCAAAUUAAUGCAGCAAAGGAAGUCGAAUUAUAAGGACGGCCGCACUUUGCAUAGGCAGGCGAUUUAAAUAAUUUAAAUUUAUCUGCUGGUGGAUUUAAUUAAUUUCAGGGAUGGGAAGCAUGGGAUUUUAUUAUUUGUUUCACUGUCUUGUUUAUAAUUAUGUCUCUUUCAAACGUUCUCAUCUUAGAAAUUAUUUUGUUAAUUGUUAAUUGUUUUCAGAAUUAGAUCAUCUCUCCAAUCACUAGCGCGGCGCUUUGGAAUCAAUUUUAUAUCACAAUGCUGCGGAAAAUGCUCAAGUUCUACUUUUACACACGACACACUCAAAUAUUUCUAUUUAGAAAGCCAGGAUUAAUUAUUAGGCACACUAUAUUCAUAUUUACAGUUACCCUUUUAAUGGUUUGUUAAUUAAUUAAAAUUGAUAUCACCUGGUUUACUUUUCUCAAGAACUUUGAAAUAUUUAUAUGUAAAAUGCAUUAAAUUAGUGAAAGUAAUUUGUAAAUUUAAUAUUAAUGGAGUGGAAGUUUAUGUGUAUAAUGUGGUUAGUUUAUUUAAUUACUGGUUUGUGUAUUGUUAAAAUUAGGCUUAAAAGUACUGUUUAAGGUUAUUUAUAAAUUGAUUAAAUUGUUACAAAUGUUACAAAAUCAAAAUAAAAAAGGGAAAAUUUGUAAAAUUGAUAGAUUUAUGAAGUUUAUCAAAAGCUUUUUAACUUUUAAAAUAGGAUUUGAAAUACAAAAUCAAUUUUUGUUAUUACAAAAGAGAAAAAAAAUUCUAAAGAAGAUUGUUGUGCUCAUAAACACAAAAUAUCAGCAACGUUGAGCUGAAUAUUGAAAUAAAAAAGAGCAAUUCUUUUGCCGAACACAUGGGUCCCCCCAAAUUUGAUGCUGGCGUCCUGAAAUUUUCGUGGCUUAAUCCUCAUGACUUGAAAGCAAACUCCAUAAAUUUUUAUAAAAAAAUUUUCAAAAUUGCGGGUUUUACGGGACAUUUUGAAAAAAUAAAAAAACCUAAUUAUCUCGUCUCCCCGUGGUCGUAUAAUAAAAAUCUGGGUAUGUUUGGAUUUGUCUCAUCAAUAUCUACAAAAAUAAAUUAAUUUAAAGGUCAUAGGUCAAAGGUCAAGGUCAUUUAUUUCAAAUUCAAAAUUUCAAACUCAAAUUUUAAGAUGUGCCUCACGCUAAAAGUCAAAUUUGACAUCGUCAUUCAAUUUCUCGUGAAAUUUUACGUAAUAUAUGUCAAAAUUGCGAUGUGGUUAUUUUUAGUUAAAUUUAAAAUAAAAUUAAAAGAUUAAAAAACGUGGUUUUUUGCCCCUCGGUGUGCAGAUUUCCUUAGAAUAUCAUUAAUUUCUCGAUUUGUGUUGAUUUUAGACAUAUAUAGUUAAUGACAAAAAUUGACCUUCUUAUCUAGACCAAUCGAAUGGUGUGCAUGUCAAUGACCUUUGGUGAACUUGGGUCAAAGGUCACCGUGACCCAUGACCUUGAGUGACCUGACCUAUAUGUGUGAUACGUAGUUGGAAAGAUCUUGUUAAGAAGAUAAUUUUUAUCACCGGGUUUUUGUCUCUAGGUCUACUAGAAUUCAAUUAAUCGUUGUUUUAUGAUAAUUAAAAGGCAAUAUCUGCAUUAUAAAAACUAAACAAUCUAAUAACUUCGGUUCUAGUAGACGUAGAGACAAAAACUCUGUGACAAAAAUUAUUUUCUUAGCGAGAUCUUUCCAACAACGUAUCACACAUAUAGGUCAGGUCACUCAAGGUCAUGGGUCACGGUGACCUUUGACCCAAGUUCACCAAAGGUCAUUGACAUGCACACCAUUCGAUUGGUCUAGUUAAGAAGGUCAAUUUUUGUCAUUAACUAUAUAUGUCUAAAAUCAACACAAAUCGAGAAAUUAACGAUAUUCUAAGGAAAUCUGCACACCGAGGGGCAAAAAACCACGUUUUUUAAUCUUUUAAUUUUAUUUUAAAUUUAACUAAAAAUAACCACAUCGCAAUUUUGACAUAUAUUACGUAAAAUUUCACGAGAAAUUGAAUGACGAUGUCAAAUUUGACUUUUAGCGUGAGGCACAUCUUAAAAUUUGAGUUUGAAAUUUUGAAUUUGAAAUAAAUGACCUUGACCUUUGACCUAUGACCUUUAAAUUAAUUUAUUUUUGUAGAUAUUGAUGAGACAAAUCCAAACAUACCCAGAUUUUUAUUAUACGACCACGGGGAGACGAGAUAAUUAGGUUUUUUUAUUUUUUCAAAAUGUCCCGUAAAACCCGCAAUUUUGAAAAUUUUUUUAUAAAAAUUUAUGGAGUUUGCUUUCAAGUCAUGAGGAUUAAGCCACGAAAAUUUCAGGACGCCAGCAUCAAAUUUGGGGGGACCCAUGUGGUUAGUAAAAGAUUUGCUCAAAAUAAAAUAAAUAAAUCUUAAUAAAAUUAUAAUUUAAAAGGAUUAAAGUGUGUAGCAGUGUUUUAAGCUACUGUAAUUCCAGUUGUCAGUGGCUGUGUGUUGAGAAAUUUGUUUAAAAAUCCAGGUGCGCAUAAUCAGUGUAUUUUUAGAAAAGUGUAAUUUUGACCUCUCCGAGGGUUGUGUCGUCUGAUCUCUUACCAACGUCAUCACCCUGUGGCGGGCGGAAAAGGCUCUCAAUUCAGGCGGCUUGGCCGAGAGCCUGGUCACCUGGAUAUCCUCGGUGCGCACGCUGCAGGGCUCCAGGUCUUUGAUUUCGUCUAGAAGUACCUCGAUCUCGUCGGCGCCGUACAGGUCGGACACCGAGUUGACGUAGCGUCCGGUGGAGGGUGCGUUGGGCGUGAUGGCCGUGUUGGCGCUGUAGCUGACGGUCGGCUUGGCGACGGCCUCCAGCAGGUCGCCCACCGAGCGGGGCAUCCUCCUGUCCAAAACUCUCUCUCUCUCUACCAACCCUGCUCUUUCUCUCUCUGAUUCUCUACACACGCAUGACUAGUCUGCGCAUUCACGGGAGCCUGUACAGUGUGGACAGAGCGGGUUCCAACUUGCUGCACUUACACACGCGGCGACGUCGUCAACUCGACCGGCGCAUCGCCUCCUCGCCGCCGCCGUCCGACCGACCGUCCCUGUCGAGACCGCGUCUCUUCUACUCGGCACACUUGGCGACCAAUGGCAACUGCGCGCUGAUGCUGGUGCUCACCGGUCGGACGCUCGAUUCAGACAUUGUCUUCCGCACGCACGGCGAUUGGGCCAAAUCAAAGGCUCUGAAAUGCAGUGGAAAAUUAUUAUUGAUGAUAUCAAAUUAAUUGAAAGACUCGAAAACACACGUUUAUCCAUUGAUGCGGGAAUUGUUUUUAAAAGUUGAAAUUUUAAAACUGUUAAAAAAAGGGGCUUAAAUUGUUUUAAUGAAAGUAAUUGUAUCAAAAAUUAAUUUAUUAAUUGUAAUAUUAAAUUUUUUGUCAAAUGUUAAAACAAUCAGAAAAUUAAUUAUUGUAUGCCAAUUUUUGUUUGAAUAAUUCAAUUCUUGAAUAAGCAGCUGAAACAUU
Molecule: long non-coding RNA, 5017 nt
Organism: Neocloeon triangulifer
Lineage: Eukaryota; Metazoa; Arthropoda; Insecta; Ephemeroptera; Baetidae
Exons: 3
Source: RefSeq, a predicted model, not a curated record